Molecule: long non-coding RNA, 1398 nt
Organism: Nicotiana attenuata
Lineage: Eukaryota; Viridiplantae; Streptophyta; Magnoliopsida; Solanales; Solanaceae
Exons: 3
Source: RefSeq, a predicted model, not a curated record
CUUUGUUGAUGGACCCAGGGAAACUGGAAAAACAUACUUAUAUAGAGCAUUACUGACAAAUGUUAGAUUAAGAGGUAUGAUAGCCUUAGCAAUAGCAACCAGUGGCGUAACAACUUCAAUUUUACCAGGAGGUCGUACAGCUCACUCUAGGUUUGACAUUCCUCUCCAAACAAAUGAAACGACCAUGACAAACAUGCCAAACAAAGUGGUGCAGCCAAAUUGAUUCGAAAAGCAAAAUUAAUGAUAUGGGAUGAAGCGCCCAUGGCCAAGCGACAAACAAUAGAAACAGUCGACAGGAGCUUUAGAGAUAUAAUGGACAUCGAUGAACCUUUUGGUGGAAAAGUCAUGGUUUUUGGAGGUGAUUUUCGUCAGGUAUUAGCAGUUGUUCCAAAAUUUACAAGAGUAGAAAUAGUCAAUGCAAGCUUGGUAAAAUCAUAUCUAUGGCCUUUGAUGGAAAAAAUCAAAUUUAUCAGAAAUAUAAGAGCAAGAACUGAUCCAACAUUUAGUGAGUUCUUACUUCGUGUUGGCAACGGAGAAGAGCCUACAAUAAAAGAUAAUUUGAUCCUUCUUCUAGAACAUUUGGCUGUCAAGUAUAAUAGCGAUGGUAUUGCUGAAGAAUGCUUAAUAAACGAAAUAUACCCAUCACUACAAGAGAAUGCUAACUCUGCAAAAUAUGUAACGGAGAGGGCUAUAUUAGCAAGCAGAAAUGAGCAUGUUGAUAAGCUAAAUGAGAGGUUGAUAGAUAUGUUCCCAGGUGAAAGCAAAACAUUUAUUAGUUUUGACUCUGCAGAAGAUGACACCAAUAAUUAUUACCAGGAAGAAUAUCUAAACACUUUAACACCCAAUGGCUUCCCCGCAUAGGUUAGUAUUGAAGGAGAACGCACCUAUAACGCUACUCAGGAAUCUAGACCCUUCAAAUGGCUUAUGUAACGGAACAAGAAUGAUAUGCAGAGGCUUUAACAACAACAUUUUACAUGCAGAAAUUAUGAUUGGUCAUUGUGCAACAAAGCAUGUGUUUAUACCACACAUUCAGCUUUCACCCCUGAAAAUGAAGGAUAUCCUUUCAAGUUCAUUCGGAAGCAAUUUCCAGUACGUCUUUGCUUUGCCAUGACAAUAAAUAAAGCACAAGGCCAAACCAUUCCCAAUGUUGGCUUGUAUUUGCCACAACAUGUCUUUCGCAUGGACAACUGUAUGUUGCACUUUCAAGAGGGAUAUCAAUAUCCACAACAAAAGUUCCUGUCAUGACAGAGCAACCGACAUGUAAAAAUGGAACAUAUACCAAAAACAUCGUCUACAAGGAAGUGUUAGGUUCAGACGACAUAUAAACAUUGAAGUCCAAUAAUUAACUCAUAAAAUAGAAAAAUCAUUCUUCAGUUGAGCUUGUAAUUUUACUCUUAC